Molecule: ribosomal RNA, 301 nt
Filed under: uncultured bacterium
Lineage: Bacteria
Description: partial 16S ribosomal RNA
Rfam family: Bacterial small subunit ribosomal RNA
Source: RNAcentral
CAGCCGCCACGGGAAUACGGAGGGGGCUAGCGUUGUUCGGAAUUACUGGGCGUAAAGCGCACGUAGGCGGCUUUGUAAGUUAGAGGUGAAAGCCCGGGGCUCAACCCCGGAAUUGCCUUUAAGACUGCAGAGCUAGCAGGUGAGAGAUGUGAGUGGAAUUCCGAGUGUAGAGGUGAAAUUCGUAGAUAUUCGGAAGAACACCAGUGGCGAAGGCGGCUCACUGGCUCAUACUGGACGCUGAGGUGCGAAAGCGUGGGGAGCAAACAGGAUUAGAUACCCGAGUAGUCCCUGUCUCUUAUAC